AAGGAUCAUUAAUGAUUUAGGUGGGGGGAGGCACGGCACGGCACGCGCUUCCCCCCCAUUACCCAUUACAUCCCUGUGAACCGUGGGUGAAAGAGUUUUCCAACCUUUUCAUCUCCCCUCUUUAAAAACACACAACGUCCAUUGAAUGUCUAUUGAAAUCAAAAAUUUCUAUACAACUUUUAGCAACGGAUCUCUUGGCUCUC
Molecule: unclassified non-coding RNA, 203 nt
Filed under: uncultured fungus
Lineage: Eukaryota; Fungi
Description: partial contains 18S rRNA, ITS1, 5.8S rRNA, ITS2 and 28S rRNA
Source: RNAcentral